UGGGGAAUCUUGGACAAUGGGCGCAAGCCUGAUCCAGCCAUGCCGCGUGAGUGAAGAAGGCCUUCGGGUUGUAAAGCUCUUUUUACCAGGGACGAUAAUGACGGUACCUGGAGAAUAAGCCCCGGCAAACUUCGUGCCAGCAGCCGCGGUAAUACGAAGGGGGCUAGCGUUGUUCGGAAUUACUGGGCGUAAAGCGCACGUAGGCGGAUUGUUAAGUCAGAGGUGAAAUCCCGGAGCUCAACUUCGGAACUGCCUUUGAUACUGGCAAUCUAGAGUCCGGAAGAGGUUAGUGGAAUUCCCAGUGUAGAGGUGAAAUUCGUAGAUAUUGGGAAGAACACCAGUGGCGAAGGCGGCUAACUGGUCCGGUACUGACGCUGAGGUGCGAAAGCGUGGGAGCAAACAGGAUUAGAUACCCCAGUAGUCCCUGAGCGGGCUGGCAAGGCGCAU
This 447-nucleotide ribosomal RNA is filed under the name uncultured bacterium. RNAcentral describes it as "bacterial SSU rRNA". It matches the Rfam family "Bacterial small subunit ribosomal RNA", at positions 355 to 825 of the family's 1533-position model. The record is from RNAcentral.